CAUUGCCUUUAUAUGCCAUUAAUUCUCGCCCUUAAGUGUAACGACUGCCUGGGAGCUUUAUUUGCGUUCUUUCGUUAAAGUUCUAAACCGAGGAGGGCUAGGAGGUCGCCCCUCAGCGAGCCGAGGCCUGGGCACAACGCGCAGCUCGCAGCGGCAGAGUCCAGCGCGCAUGCGCGGCCCCGGGCCGGCGGCGCCCGUUCACCCCCAAGUUCUGUUGAGGGACAAUUUGAGUCGAGAACGGAAGGCUUUCUACUAGUUUAAAAAGUGUUCAGGAAAACGUCACCAUCCUCAUAAUGAUACAUUUCAUAUAAGGCAAAAGCAUCCAUCCUCCCAACUGAUAAUGAUACCUCAAUUGUGCUUAAGGAGGAGUACCCUAAUCCCACUGGAUGAAACCUUAUUUCGAGUAUUCAUCAAGACUCAAGAUAGGUUAAUGAACCAUUUCUCAAAGAGUGUCAUGCUGAACACAGGCACAAGAUCACCCAGG
Molecule: long non-coding RNA, 484 nt
Organism: Tupaia belangeri chinensis (Chinese tree shrew)
Lineage: Eukaryota; Metazoa; Chordata; Mammalia; Scandentia; Tupaiidae
Exons: 3
Source: RefSeq, a predicted model, not a curated record